Tachysurus vachellii is the source of this 1588-nucleotide long non-coding RNA. RefSeq lists it as uncharacterized. The record is from RefSeq and is a predicted model, not a curated record. The transcript is spliced from 3 exons. Lineage: Eukaryota; Metazoa; Chordata; Actinopteri; Siluriformes; Bagridae.
CAUGUUUCUUUUAUUUCUUGAAUCCCUUGCAGUAAAAACGUUUUACUCGAAAUCUUUCUUGGAUAUUUGAAGUAUUUAUUCCCGUAUGAUGUACUACGCUGAACCCUGGAGUGUGAGUUAAUAACGAUUCCAGGCCAAUUCACACCUCCAGACACUGGCACAAUGUCACAGUGCGAAUCGUCCACAGUGGACACCCAGCACGGCUUCUCCACCAUUUAGCAGAACUGAUAAAGAACCCUGAAUGUGAGGAGAAACAUCUGAAAUGAAUCCAAGACCGGCUAUCUGUAGGAAUCUUUACACAGUAUAAAGAGUUCAGUAUACAGUAGAUCUCCUGGUUGGAGUCUCAUCGCUUAGUGGUCUGUUCUGCUGAGGAUAGAUCUACAUGGACAGCCCGUGACCUACUGGACUGCUGUGGACAGAUUUGUGCUCGGGUCUUCAUCAGUGAGCAUUUGAAGACAUCGGCAUAAGUGUUAAGUCUGUUAUAAACCUGCUCUUGGUCUUCUACAAAAUUCCACUCCACUACAAAAUGUUGUAGAAAUGACAUUAUUUACAUUUACAUCAUUUCCUGUCCAGUGUCACCCAAAUGAGGAUGAUGUUCAUUUCUGGUUCCUUUCAAGGUUUCUUCCUCAGAUCAUCUCAGGGACUUUUUCCUCACCACCGUCGCCUCAGUCUUGCUCAUUAUUUAUAGAUGUUAGAGUUGAAUUAAAGAUAAUUAAACUUAAAUUACAUUAAAGCACUAAUCAGUGUGAAAAUUGUGGUUUCUUUACGUUCACAGAUUUGUACUAGCAUCAAGAGCAGAGUAACAAAUUCUACUAUAAAUAUGUUUAACUUAUUAAAUCAAAUCGAAUAGAAUAUUUUCAGUGUCUUUGUACAGCUGUACAACAAGAUUAAGCCUCUAUCGUGUAAAAGCACACACACACACACACACACACAAUUGUGAGCCAAAUGUUUGUAUAUGUCAUUUUGAGAGCUCGAUCAAUGGACGGUUUUUAUUCUAGAGUAAUCCUCGGAAUCAUUUGUUGUUAGGAAAACAAAAUAAUCAGCUAAAACAAUUUUUUUUCCAGCCUGUAUUCGGUCAUUGCUAUGCUGCUAAUCACGUAUAUAUAAAUGAAAAUAAUCAACGGUUUAAUCUUACAGUCAGCUAUAAUUAUCUUAAUAAUCUUGUGUUGUGUAUUUGGUUGUGUUUCCUACAUAUUUGACAAAUAUCUCGCCCUUUUUUCUAUCUUUUUUCACACCUAGCAUCACCUAGCAAGAUACUGCUUUGCUAACUGGUUGCUUAGCUUACUCAUAGAUAAUGCUGUAUGAAACUUGUAUGAAAACAGGAUUUGUCCGGACUGUCCAUGCAUUCCUGAGGGUUAAACUAAGCUAAUCUGCUAACUUGCCGGUUUAGGUACUUCCUGAGUUGAAUUUCGAAAUGUGUGUGUGUGUGUGUGUGUGUGUGUUUUAACCUAUUUCACCUUCAUGACGUUGUAAUGCAAGAUCACGCUGCAAGUAGCUUGUGGUUUCUCACCAAUUCGGAAACUUCACACGUACCAUUAUAUUUUCAUACAAGCUGUAUCCAUUAUAGCAUAAAGACGCUAGUAACAUC